UCGACCGCCCUGCUCCCUCUCUCUCUCUCUCUCUGUCUGGAUCUGGAUCUAGGUUUUCCUCCAUGAAAAUUUCACCUGAUCUAUGAAGAUUCUGACCUCUCAAUUCUGUUUUAGGGUAUCUUUGGUGUUAUUGCUACCUUCGUCAAGGGUCAUGGUUUAAGGAAUGUGUCACGUUUCUUCAGAGAUUCCAGUCGGAAUCCUAGCCGAGAUAAUGGAUACUCUAGGGUUUAUGAAGGUUUGAUGAACUAUGCUGCGUGUACCAGCGAAACACGAAGAUCCUCUUUAAAUGGAUUCCGGUAAGACGAUUAGGGUUCCGGCGUGCUGGACUGCCAUCUCUGUCAAAAAAGGUUCCUCAAAGAUAGUGGUUGUGGGUGGAAGACGAUGACACAAGCCUUGAAUCAAAUCCAUGUUUACUCGACCUCCAUAUUUUGAGGGUAAAAGUGAAGAUGACUUCUUUGACAGGACUUAAAUCAAGUUGAAGUUUGCACCAGAUAAGGGGACGCGUUUAGAUGGUUGGCUGGAAAUCCUUCCCACAAACCGGAUAUAAUGGCUCAGUGUGGCUACUAUAAACUCUUCUUGUUUUGUUUCUGUUCUAUUUAAUGGCAUUGUUCAUUGCACCCUGCAAAUGAUUGUUACAAUCUCACAUUAACAAAAACCGAAAGAGAAAAAACAGUUCAUGAAAAACUGCUUUAAUGGCUACACGACAUGUUGCACAAGCAGGACGUCCGCUAAUGAAUAUCGUCAGAAUGAAGGGGGUGCCCAUCCUACAGCAGUUGGAGAUUGAAGAAUGCCUUUUGCGGACCUCAUCUGACAACUGGUGCAUCAUAAAUGAUAGGGCGGAUAGACCCCACAUUGUCAUGGGCAUUUCUGGAAACCUGCUGAACUUGUUGAAAUUAAACGUGUUCUAGAAGAUAAUAUUCCUGUCAUACGAAGGUUUACUGGUGGCGGGACUGUAAUAGUUGAUCUAGGGACAAUAUUUGUUUCAUUCAUAUGUAACAAGGAUGAUGUUGCAGAUGUACAACCGUAUCCUCGACCCAUCAUGUCUUGGACCAGCCUAUUAUGCAGUCAGGUUUUUGAAGGAAUUGCUGAUUUCAGGCUUCGUGAGAAUGGUAUGAAAAAUUGAUUCUUAAAUCUUAAAUCUUAUUUGAAAAUAUAGUGUGCUACGUUUGUGCUUUUGGUAGUUGUUGCUUUGACAACUAUGGAAUAAUUAGAGACAUUAUGCAAAACCAUCUGCUUCAGAUAUUGGCCCUUUUUUCUAUGGAAACUCCUGUCAGUUUGGAUGCAGAAGAUAUCAGAAACGAAAAGGUUUUAUUUUUUGUUUUAGCAAGAAUGAUGACUCUGGCUGGUGGUGACCAAAAAGUGCACGAUGCUUAUUGUUAGUUCUGGUUCACUGGUGAUAAGCAUAUUGUACACUAUGCUCCAUCUAUUAUACAUUGUGCUUUAAACUCCUAAAACCAUGAUGGUUCUUUUUGAAGCGUUUAGCUCUAUCUGACACUAUUUGAUACUUUUCCAUGGUGGUGACUAGCGAGUCCCGAGUCCAGCUCGACAACAGGUGUGUGGUCUGGUGGAUUGAACAAAUGUGUGACAAUGGCGACCGAGGAGUUCUAGAGUUUCAUGAUAACAGAACAUCGGUGAUUGGCAGUGGUAUAUUGCUACCAUCAACAGCAAAGUCAAAACCUCAAAGGUGGAUCUAAGUGUCAAGGUUUCGCUCAGAAUGGCUUCCAGUCAACAGGUCAAUUAAAAAAAGGCUACAUUUGUUCGGGUCGAAACGGGUCGAUUAUUGAAUGCUAUUUUGGUUCAGCUAAAAAUGAAUGGUUUCAACUCAUUAAAAUGUCACAUUUCCAAAGCGAUCCGUAUUUUACCUGAACUAAGCGAUCCGUUUUUUACCUGAACUAAGCGAUCUGUUUUUGAAACUGGAAGUACUGUUGUUGGUGGAGGAAACAGCGUUGGAAGUUUUUUCUUUAUAUAGUUCUACCCCAUAUGACCAGCUAAAAGCUAUCAUCAUUGAUCUCUAGCAGCAACUCACUUCCCCGCCACCUUCAAAGACUGUUGCAACCAUGUCAAGGACUCUGUUGAUCAUCGACUACAGUGGACGACAAUGAAGACUGUAAUAUAAUUUUUUUUUUUCUGAUUUCAUAUCUUACAUUUUUUUUCCUAUAGGAUUCCAAUUUUCAGUUCUUAAAUAGACUUUCAACUUUUACAAGUUUUUAAUCGACUGUAGAAGUGGCAGGGUUUACCCAUUUACUUGUGAUCAAGUCAAUUUGGAUUGUUUUUUGUUUUUUUUUUUUCUCACACAUCUAAUAAAGUUCCAAG
This 2313-nucleotide long non-coding RNA is filed under the name Helianthus annuus (common sunflower). Lineage: Eukaryota; Viridiplantae; Streptophyta; Magnoliopsida; Asterales; Asteraceae. The record is from RNAcentral.